CCAUAGGUCCCUCCAGCUCUAUACUGAUUCUCUCUUUAAUUACUCCCCAAACAGGCGCAUUCUUCACAUUGCUGCAAACUGACCAGCGAUUUGUAAGUCUCAGAGUCAGUCAGUCUCUCUCUCUCUCUCUCUCUCUCUCUCUCUCUCUCUCUCUCUCUCUCUCUCUCUCUCUCUCUCCCCCCCCCUCCCUCUCUCUUCUCUCUCUGGCUGAAGAGGAUGUGCUUUAGACGAAAGACCCCAAAGUUCUCAGUGGCACCAGUACCCCAAGUGUUAGGAAGGUAGGAACUAACCCAAAAGCAGAGUGAGGAGGAGGAGGAGGAAGUCGGAGAGGAAAACGAGAGGGAAUACAAGAAGGAACGCACUCCCGUGCCCAGCAGACUCUAGCCACUCUCUCCCCAGCUACACGCUUGGUGAGGCCUACUCAAGCCUGUCUUUGUUCCAGACAAAAAUUUCACAGGAACCUCGAGGCCUUCGUGUAUGAUGGCAGCGCUAAUUCCACAGAUGAAUUUUUACCCCACCGCAGCUGGAAUGUUAUCUGGUUUAUUUACCUGCUCUUCCCAAGCCACCUCCUGAACCUUUCAAUCAUAUGCACGAUACAGACACAAAUGAGUCAUCUGCCUUUAAAUCUGUGAUUCAAAAGAGUUUUCCCAAAAUAAUUUUAAGUGGCAAAGCCCAAGUCUCAAGGAAGCAAAAAUACAGAAGUUGUCUUAAAACCGCCUUAAAUGUUAGGCAAAUAGGUCACCACGGUCUCCUUUUUUUCUUUCUUUUUUGGAAACAAAAAUAUUUUUUCUGAAAGGGCAAAGAGAAUUUGCCAUGCAAGACUUUUAUACCCAGGGGGAUUUUUACAUUUGCUUUUCUAAACCUUGAAAUUGAGAAUUUUAAUGACAAGGCAGACAGAUGCUUACAGACAGCAUCCCAGUCAAGGGUCUACAUGCUAAGGAGAGAGUGGCGCUUUGUUUGGGCCGAGGGGGGGGGGAGGUGGACUUCCCACUCUGUUCCUGAGCCAUCCCCAAGUGUCUGACACAUCCCUUCACAGUGGCCAGCAAACCACCGAAUUCUUGGAGGGGACGGAGGUUGGGGCAGAAGAAAGGAAACAGGAAACGAGAGAGGAAAAGAAAAAGGAUGGGCAGGGGAUAUUGUCUGUUUAUAUAAAUCCUACUUUAAAAAAAAAAAUCUCAACCCACUGUCAAUUCCAUACACACCAACUAGUUUAAACAGUGCAUUCUGUCGGACUCCCAGCCAUCCAUCUCAGAUUUUUUUUUUCUUUUUAAUGAGUAAUUUCACAUAGGUUUCAAUUCUUCCCUAGCCAAUGAUCACUUUUAAGUAGUGGACAGGAUACCAGGAGAUAAACAAAAGAUGACCCUUUCACGCUUUACCCCGGGUAAUGCUAGAAUCCCAUUUCUUCGAUUCAUCUUUUCACCGCAGUUCAUUUUUGUUGGAAGUCUGUGCUAAUCUGGCUUCACAGUUGUCCCCCCCACCCCACCCCCAGCUGACAUCCCACAUAUCCCCCAAGUCAGCCAGUGUUUUAGAAUGUGGGUUUCUAUUGAGGCUGUUCCAAUCGCCAGUGAGGCCUACGGUGAAAUGUGCUUCAUGCUGCUCCGUUCGUCUCUCUGCGGACAAAUAGAAACUGUGAAAUUUAAAGAAUGGAUAAAAAAAAAAAAUCUAAAACAAAGAGGUUAAAAAAAUAGGACAAAUGUUUUUGCUUUUGUGUCUCCCUGCAGCGAUUGUUUGGGGAAGCUGCACUGACAAUAACCAUGAGCAGGCCAUCUAAAGGCGAUGCGCUCACAAGGGGACGCCUUGCCUGCUCCCUUUGGUCUGGGAGAAAAAGUACCUUAGCUCCGUUCUCCAGGAACAAAAGGCCGGGGCCAGGGGAGGGGGGAGAGGUUACUGGGCUUUCACAGGGAGCAAAGUGUCAAAGCUGGUUCAUUUUUCACCCUUCUGAGUUAGAAAGCCGCUCAGGGAACUUCCUAAUGACUCCUUUUCCCUCUCUAUUACUGCUAAAGCUAAGACGACAAAACAAUGACAUAUUUUAUAUACAUAUGAGUAUGUGUAUGUGUAUACAUGUGUGUGUGUAUACACACAUCCUUAAAAAAAAAAAAACAAAAAAAAAAAACAAACCUAAAACCCACCAUGCCAGUCAAGGAAGGCCUUUGGGGCCCACAUGAGCCUGCUUCUCUCCUCCCUCUCACCACCCUACUUUUUUUCUUUUUGGAGGGGGGAUCCAGUAGUAGAGCAGAUGAAAAGACAGACAGUGAUAUGUCCAAUAACAUCAAACUGGCCUUUAUCAGUCCAAAAAGGUAGGGUGUUAUCCGGGACAGGAGGUAUUGGGGGAGAGGGUUGGGGGCAAGAAGGCCUGGAAAUAGUUCCUUUUUUCCCAGCAUGAAGUCGGAUAAUGCCAAUUCCACAUUCACAACUGAAUCGAAAUCUCACAUCAUCACUGAAUGGUGGGAGUGGUUUUUUUGUUUAUUUAUUUGGAGUUUAGAUUUGUGUGUGUGUGUGUGUGUGUGUGUGUGUGUGUGUGUGUGUGUGUGUGUGUGUGUUCUUUUUUUAGAGGAUGUCCUAGAGAACUGGACAGUGAGGGUGUAUUAACCCAGACAAGGUGUGGCAGGGACCAGGGGAGGUGGUGCCACCAGGAAAGGAAGCUGGGGUGAAUCACUGCAUGCCAUGGAAAUACUGGGCCGAGUGGAUGUAGGAGUGUUUAACCAGAUUAACACACUGGAAGUGUCUUCCCAGGCAAGCAAAACCCUAGGUCAAAGCAAAGACAUUCGACCCCCAAGCCAGACCUGACUGCUCCGGGAACACCCCCCCCCUUCCCCAAAGCAAGCACAGGGCUCUGACCAAAGAGCAAGGUCACAGGCAGGGAUGAGAGGGCCCUGCAAAGCACAAUAAACACUCGAAUAUGAACGGAAAUGACAUCAGCAAAGUGAAGGACCUGUUUACUGCAGAUCAAAACAAAACAAACUUCCAAACCUUUUGUGUACACAAGAGAACUCUAUAAAAAGCCUUGCUAAAUGUCACUAGGGUCUACACAUCGGCAACCCAAUAAGAAAAUAUGACGGUUACUGGAGGGGGGAGCUGGGGGGGGAUGAUGGAAAGAAGGUGGAGGGAGGGAGAUCAAUCCCAGCUAGGACCAAAAAUCCAGUUGCUGGUUACCCCCUCUGCUGAGUCUUAAUAUUUAUUGGUGUUUAUAAUCUGAAAGCCAUGCUCUAUGUUUCACUUAAUACAAGGCCAGACAGCGUUGUCUAAUGAGGCAGCAUUACAAUCAGCUUGUAAUGCUGAAUUUUUAAUGCUGCCAAGGAUUCUGUUACAUAAUAAUAUGAAAAACAGAAGCCCAGAGUGGGGUCACAGUGACAAGACCUCCCCAGUGCCACCAGCCUGGCUUCCCUUGCCUCCGCCCACUACCACUUUCUGAUUUGAAAUCAACUCUUCAUUCCCUACACAGGAGGUCGAUAUGGAAACCGAGAGGAUUUCUUAGGAAAUCCACACUUUCCAUUAUUUCUGUAGUCUCUUAUCCAAAGUUCUAUGUCGAGAGUUUGAAUUCUAGCUUAUCUGGGGUGAGAGCUCUAAAAUGAAAAUUAUUUCU
This is a non-coding RNA of Peromyscus maniculatus bairdii (prairie deer mouse), 3583 nucleotides long. The record is from RefSeq and is a predicted model, not a curated record. Lineage: Eukaryota; Metazoa; Chordata; Mammalia; Rodentia; Cricetidae.